RNAcentral lists this ribosomal RNA (414 nucleotides) under uncultured bacterium. RNAcentral describes it as "bacterial SSU rRNA". It matches the Rfam family "Bacterial small subunit ribosomal RNA", at positions 355 to 767 of the family's 1533-position model. The record is from RNAcentral.
UAAGGAAUAUUGGUCAAUGGACGCAAGUCUGAACCAGCCAUGCCGCGUGAAGGAUGAAGGUCCUCUGGAUUGUAAACUUCUUUUAUCUGGGACGAAAACGGGAUUUUUAUCUCAAUUGACGGUACCAGAGGAAUAAGCACCGGCUAACUCCGUGCCAGCAGCCGCGGUAUUACGGAGGGUGCGAGCGUUAUCCGGAUUUACUGGGUUUAAAGGGUGCGUAGGUGGGCUUAUAAGUCAGUGGUGAAAUCUCCGAGCUUAACUUGGAAACUGCCGUUGAUACUAUAGGUCUUGAAUUAUCUGGAGGUAAGCGGAAUAUGUCAUGUAGCGGUGAAAUGCUUAGAUAUGACAUAGAACACCAAUUGCGAAGGCAGCUUACUACAUAUAAAUUGACGCUGAGGCACGAAAGCGUGGGGA